CCUACGGGUGUCAGCAGGGAAUCUUCGGCAAUGGUGGCAACCCUUACCGAGCAACGCCGCGUGAGUGAAGAAGGUUUUCGGAUCGUAAAACUCUGUUGUUAGAGAAGAACGUUAAGUAGAGUGGAAAAUUACUUAAGUGACGGUAUCUAACCAGAAAGGGACGGCUAACAACGUGCCAGCAGCCGCGGGAAUACGUAGGUCCCAAGCGCUGUCCGGAUUUAUUGGGCGUAAAGCGAGCGCAGGUGGUUUCUUAAGUCUGAUGUAAAAGGCAGUGGCUAAACCAUUGUGUGCAUUGGAAACUGGGAGACUUGAGUGCAGGAGAGGAGGGUAGAAUUCCAUGUGUAGCGGUGAAAUGCGUAGAUAUAUGGAGGAACACCGGAGGCGAAAGCGGCUCUCUGGCCUGUAACUGACACUGAGGCUCGAAAGCGUGGGGAGCAAACAGGAUUAGAUACCCUAGUAGUC
Molecule: ribosomal RNA, 462 nt
Filed under: uncultured Lactococcus sp.
Lineage: Bacteria; Bacillati; Bacillota; Bacilli; Lactobacillales; Streptococcaceae
Description: bacterial SSU rRNA
Rfam family: Bacterial small subunit ribosomal RNA
Source: RNAcentral